CCUACGGGGGGCUGCAGUGAGGAAUAUUGCGCAAUGGGGGAAACCCUGACGCAGCGACGCCGCGUGAGUGAUGAAGGCCUUCGGGUUGUAAAGCUCUGUCAGAGGGGAAGAAAGGAGAAGUAGCUAAUAUCUGCUUCUAUUGACGGUACCCUUGGAGGAAGCACCGGCUAACUCCGUGCCAGCAGCCGCGGUAAUACGGAGGGUGCAAGUGUUAUUCGGAUAUACUGGGCGUAAAGAGUACGUCGGCGGAGAAAGCCCGGAGCUUAACUACGGAACUGCAUUUGAUACUACCUGUCUUGAGUAUGGUAGAGGGGGGUGGAAUUCCCGGUGUAGAGGGGAAAUUCGUAGAUAUCGGGAGGAACACCAGAGGCGAAGGCGACCCCCUGGGCCAUAACUGACGCUGAGGUGCGAAAGCGUGGGGAGCAAACAGGAUUAGAUACCCGAGUAGUC
This 450-nucleotide ribosomal RNA is filed under the name uncultured bacterium. Its description in RNAcentral is "partial 16S ribosomal RNA". It matches the Rfam family "Bacterial small subunit ribosomal RNA", at positions 338 to 795 of the family's 1533-position model. The record is from RNAcentral.